This 562-nucleotide ribosomal RNA is filed under the name uncultured bacterium. RNAcentral describes it as "bacterial SSU rRNA". It matches the Rfam family "Bacterial small subunit ribosomal RNA", at positions 78 to 634 of the family's 1533-position model. The record is from RNAcentral.
UGCUGCUUUGCUGACGAGUGGCGGACGGGUGAGUAAUGUCUGGGAAACUGCCUGAUGGAGGGGGAUAACUACUGGAAACGGUAGCUAAUACCGCAUAACGUCGCAAGACCAAAGAGGGGGACCUUCGGGCCUCUUGCCAUCGGAUGUGCCCAGAUGGGAUUAGCUAGUAGGUGGGGUAACGGCUCACCUAGGCGACGAUCCCUAGCUGGUCUGAGAGGAUGACCAGCCACACUGGAACUGAGACACGGUCCAGACUCCUACGGGAGGCAGCAGUGGGGAAUAUUGCACAAUGGGCGCAAGCCUGAUGCAGCCAUGCCGCGUGUAUGAAGAAGGCCUUCGGGUUGUAAAGUACUUUCAGCGGGCAGGAAGGGAGUAAAGUUAAUACCUUUGCUCAUUGACGUUACCCGCACAAGAAGCACCGGCUAACUCCGUGCCAGCGGCCGCGGUAAUACGGAUGCUGCAAACGUUAAUCGUUAAUUACUGGGCGUAAAGCGCACGCAGUGCGGUUUGUUAAGUCAGAUGUGAAAUCCCCGGGCUCAACCUGAGAACUGCAUCUGAUACU